GAUGAACGCUAGCGAUAGGCUUAACACAUGCAAGUCGAGGGGCAGCAUGGUCUUAGCUUGCUAAGGCUGAUGGCGACCGGCGCACGGGUGCGUAACGCGUAUGCAACUUGCCUCACAGAGGGGGAUAACCCGUCGAAAGACGGACUAAUACCGCGUACACUCUAUGUUGGGCAUCCAAUGUAGAGGAAAUGAAAUUCGCUGUGAGAUAGGCAUGCGUCCCAUUAGCUAGUUGGUGAGGUAACGGCUCACCAAGGCGACGAUGGGUAGGGGAACUGAGAGGUUGAACCCCCACACUGGUACUGAGACACGGACCAGACUCCUACGGGAGGCAGCAGUGAGGAAUAUUGGUCAAUGGGCGAGAGCCUGAACCAGCCAAGUCGCGUGAAGGAUGACUGUCUUAUGGAUGGUAAACUUCUUUUAGACGGGAAUAACAAGAGUCACGUGUGGCUCCCUGCAUGUACCGUAUGAAUAAGCAUCGGCUAACUCCGUG
RNAcentral lists this ribosomal RNA (490 nucleotides) under uncultured bacterium. RNAcentral's name for it is "partial 16S ribosomal RNA". It matches the Rfam family "Bacterial small subunit ribosomal RNA", at positions 28 to 507 of the family's 1533-position model. The record is from RNAcentral.